Molecule: non-coding RNA, 2886 nt
Organism: Dermacentor albipictus
Lineage: Eukaryota; Metazoa; Arthropoda; Arachnida; Ixodida; Ixodidae
Source: RefSeq, a predicted model, not a curated record
AUGCCGGUUUGUAUGGGCCGGCGUGUUUGCGCGUGUCUAGUGCGUACGUGUUUUGUGAGUGUGUUGUCUGUGGGUCGAUGUGUGUGCGUGCACGUGUUAGCGUGUCUGCCUGCAUGCAUGUAUGUGUGCUUGUUUGUGUUCAUCAAUGUGCGCGUGCGCGCUUUUGUGUCUGCGCUUUGAGAGUGCGUAUACUUGUGUGUGCGUGUGGAUGCGUUUUGUGUGCGUGCGUAUGUAUUGCAUGAGGCCGGUAGAGUUUUACUCGCAAUAAAACUCUUCCGAUUUGGUGCAGCGAGUGUUCCCGCCUGAAAGCCGAGUUUGGUUUCAAGCCACCCUGGACAACUGCUGUAUGAGGCGCCGUUUCUCGGGAGGACCAGUGGGAAGGCGCCAAGUCAUGCAGAUGGUAGCAGCGAUUUCACAAUGCCCAGCCUUGGCGCCCCCCAUCAAGAGCAAGCCACUUGCUUUCGCCUUCAGACAGAUGGUUAACGUCUUCUUGAAAGCGGUUGAGAAGACAACAUUGCUGCAAGAUUCCAGCAAUGCCAUGCGCUGCAUUUAUUGGUCAAGAUGCUCAGAGAAUGGAGUCCCUGCACCUCGUGGUUAACCGUGAACAUUUCUUUUUCUUUUGGAAAGCUAAAGGCCAUUUGCUGCAUCACUUGCAUUUUUGCAGCUCAGAUGUGUACUAUAUUUUUCUAAUUUUGAAUCAAUAUUGGCUAUUCAGUAUAAAAAAUGACGUACAGCGUGAAGGACAAGGACUGCGAGAGACACACUCCACUGACUUUCAACAAUAUUUUAUUGCGUUGCCACAUCGUGUGUGUAUACACAGAGGGGUCAUGCGCAGAAAAUGAAAGCCAGACACAAGGGGUGUUCUAACAGCAAGUCAUUGUAAAAAGAACAUGGUCACUUGAAAAAAAAAACAUCACAAUUUCUAUCUGUUUAGAUACAAAAUUUCACUAGGGGUCAGCGUGAUAGAGGGGGCACUAACGCACACACUACCCAGUUUUCUGGUGAAAUCAGCUUCAAUAAUUUACCGGGUGAGCUGUGUCUCGCUAAAACUUCCGUAUCUUAAAGAGGGGCAUGCAGCCGCAGUCCCGGCAAUGAAUGCCCAAGUGGCCUUGAACAGUGUUAUGGACGUUGUUAUAGUGCUCUCUUAAACGAUCAUUUAGGCGCCUGCCUAUCUGUCCAAUAUAUUUACUGCCUCAAAAUGGGAAUUUGGGAAACCACAUUCAUUGCACACAUCGCAAAACGUUUUCUGUGCUCGGCAGAGCAACAACUCUGACGUGAUUUAGGCGCGUUUACACACUUACAGAGCCUUGCCAGCUUUUCCGGGGCUGAGAAAAGGACUGUGAUUUCUGCAGGUCCCCUAAUCUUUUUUAGCCUAUGGGAGACAUCAUGAACAUACGGUAGCACUGCAAACCUGUGUCUUUCAACCGGCUGGUUCCUUGACCGAGCGUGCUCAUCAUGUUUUGUGCACUUCAGAAGCUGUUCCGCUAUGGCUGAAAUUAAGGCCAAAGGGUAGCCAACCCAAGAAAGGCAAUCAGCCUGUGCAGCAACGCUAUGUUGCAUCUCUUGUGAGCAAGAUUUAUUGAGGCUGUUAAGGAGGCAAAGCUUCACAAUAUCUCAUUUGACUUUGUUGGACAGACAGGCAGGCGCCUAAACAAUCAUUUAGGAGAGCACGAUAACAACGUCCAUAACACUGUUCAAGGCCACUUCGGCAUCCAUUGCUGGGACUGCGGCUGCAUGCCCCUCUUUGAAGGUACGGAAGCUUUAGUGAGACAGGUCAUCCGGGAAACUAUAGAAGCAGAUUUCACUAGAAAACUGGUUAGUGUGUGCGUUAGUGACCCCUCUAUCGUGCUGACCCCUAGUGAAGUCUUGUAUCUCAACAGAUAGAAAUUCUAAUGUUUAUUUUUUUCAAAGGACGAUGUUCUUAGUACAGUCACUUGCUGUUAGACACCCCUUGUGACUCAUAUUCUGCGCAUGCCCGCUUUUGUGCAAAUAUACUCGAUGUGGCAACGUAAUUAAAUAUUGUUUGAAGUCAGCGCAGUCUGUCAUCUCUCGCAGUUCUUGUCAUUCAAGCUGUACGUAAUUUUAUCUCAUUAAUUGCAAACUAUCCCAAGGAACUACCCUUGUUCAGUAUAAUUAUAAUGUUUGAUAUGACCAUUUGCUGGCAAAUGUUAACAGUGUGAUAUUUAACUUGAACUUUUGCAUGACUGCCUAUGCCUGUGUUCUUUUAGUAACCAGAGUAUGGCUAAUUUAUUAAACCAUAUUUGCUAAUUUGCAUGCUCACAUGCUAUAGCAUGCCUUAAUCUUGAAUUACUGCAUCUAAGUGCAAAUAAUUUAGAAAUUUACUAUGUAUUUUAAAACACUGUCCACAUUUUGUGCUCAGCAAAAUCGUUUAAUCAACAGUGGUUUGUUUUUAUCAGGCCUCCUGCUGCACUUUGCACCCAGGCACUAGUAGAUGUGGAAUAUGCACUCUUUUGAUUUAUAGUAACCAAAGAACCUAUUUUCAAACUACAUAUUGUAUAUGUACCAGUGCCUUAGAGUUACAAAACAAAAAUUUACAGAAACUGGUAUUGUAGUUAGAAAAACCGCUACACAGCACCUUUAGCCCAGAGAACUCUCAUUUCACAAAAGAGGACAAACUAUGUAGGCGCUAAAAAAUUCUAUGUAUUUUUUGUGCUCAAGUAAUCUUGUUGGAAAUAGAAAAUUAGCAAUAAGGCUCCUGGCAUAAACCUCACUUAAAGCAUGUCUAUGCUUGGAAAGUAUUCUUUCAGUCUGAAAAAUGUUGGCCAGUUAUGCUUUACAUCGACUUUCCAAACUUUUCAUAAUGCUUUGCGAUUACAUUAGUGUACAAAAUAACAGGUGUCUUUCUUGUGCGUUUGCUCUGCAUUU